AAAGCUUGUCUUGUUGUUUUCUUCAUUUUCAUUGUUCUUCUCCCUCUCAUGUCGACCAGUUGUGUAUAUAUAAAACUGAAGCAGACGAAAUCAAACUUUUAGUGAAUAAAUAAAUCUGAAGUCAAAACUUUGACGACUUCUUGAUUGCUGUGAAAACGCGGUUUUGUACAUCAGCUAUGUAACAUUUUCUCAAUAAACAAUUACAAUUUUUAUGAACAUAUGAAUGCAAGACUUUUGGAGGUUCUCAUGUAUUAUUUUAGGUUAAACCGUUCACCGUUUGUUGUGUAGGGUAGAUCGUUAAUUUGUAGGAAUAUAAAAUUUGUGUCAAUUAUAUAUUUGGGUACAUAAUAUCUCCUGGUUCUCAACAUUUCGAAACUACAAAAAUAAAAAAUGAAACUAAAAUUUCUGUUUUUGGUGGCUGAAGGGGAUCGAUCGACCCGGAGCAGGUCCAAUAAUAGACCGGACCCAAGUCAUGUUUAAAAAAACAUGAUCUCGACAAUUUCUUAAAUCUUAAGGAUCAGACUUUUCAACAUUCGAUAAUAUUUGAUUUUUUUUUUUUUUUUUAAAUUAUAUGAUUUUGUGCACCAUCACACGAGUUUAAGUCUACGGACUUAGUUUAGAAAAUAUCGAAGCGAGAGGACCAUAUCUUCAAAGUGUGGUUAAAUGUUAACGUCUGCACUAAAUAUAUCCUUCUUCGAUACUCCAAAACGAGUCACGACACACAAUAUUCCAUCUCAUAUAAAUUAAUUCUACAUCUACAUCAGACAGUCAUAUAUGGACACACAUAUAUAUCAUUUGAUGGUGCGUAUAUGCUUUCUGUAGAAAGUACAUUACAAUUUGGUAUAUUACUCUUUGGUUCUUGCUGAAUCAAAGUGUAGAGAGUAAGCACAAUCUCAAAUAUUAAUCAACAUAUAUAAUUACGUGAUCACAUAUUCAUGCAAGGUGGUAUAAAAGCAAAAAGAAAACAUAUUCAAAGGGAGGCCAUGAAAUAUAUGAUUAAAAGGGAAACGAAUUUGAUCGAAGGAAAAUUAAAGUUAUCGAAGAGACAAAUGAAUUCCGUAUACGGCCACGUGAGAAAGUACUUUUACAUUGCAAGUUUUGCAACCUCUAUAUGUCAAUCAUUAUGAAAAUAUUAUUUUAUUUGCCAAAAAAAAAAAAAAAAACAGUUUUGUAGCCAUUUUGUAUUGUUUUCUCUCUCGCCAUGUUGUAUUUGAGAUUAAACGUUUAGAAACAGAAACAAAAAACAUUUUUUUUUAUUAACUAUUUUGUCGAUUUCAUUAUCAGGAUCAAUUAAUUCCGAUGUAUCCCCACCUAAACAUAUUUCAUUGGAAUAAAUCCUAAAUCAACAUCAGCCUCAUGAUCCUCCCAAAAAAUCCAACCGCUUUGAAUGCUUUCUUAUAGUCUAUAUACACAUAACUAAUGAGUAUUCACGAAUUACAUACGACCCCAACAUUAUUUCAAAAUAUUAACAGUUGAAAACCUGAAUCUCUUUAAUUACAUAUUUUCAUUUUGAAUGAAAAAAAAACAAUGAUUCUUCAAAAUUUGUUUGACUAGUGCCCUAUGUUUUUAGGAGACACAAGAUUAUUCAAAAUGCCCGUUUUCUCUCUUAAAUCUCUUCUUAAUUAAGAUCCUCUAAUUGAAAGUUACUUAUAAA
Molecule: non-coding RNA, 1654 nt
Organism: Arabidopsis thaliana (thale cress)
Lineage: Eukaryota; Viridiplantae; Streptophyta; Magnoliopsida; Brassicales; Brassicaceae
Source: RefSeq